GGGAUGAGCACAUUUGCUGAAGACUUUGAUGUCAAUAGUCAAGAUUGAGAAUUAGAAAAAUGAUAAAACCGGAUUCAAUCGCCUUAUGUGGGCAGAUAAAGGUAUUCAGCGAAAUUCGAACGAAAACCGGUAUCACUCAGUGAUAGGUUCGGUUUAUUGUUUAACAAGAAAUAAAAAUUCUGACUAAAACAUCGAUCGACACUUCAUUUUGAUUCAAACAGUUAAUGACAUAAUUUUACGUCGCACAUUGCUUGUUUUAGCGUGAUCUGCUUCCUUAUCAUAAUUGUCGUGUAACAAUGAAUCUAAUUACUUUGCUAUUAUGCCUUUUGAUAUGCGUUGGGUGUUUGUACGCGGCAGCUGUUGUUAAACAAAAAAUUUCAUCGGAUACCGAUCUGGAAACAUCCGAAACUCUAUUCAUUGGUCCUAUUGGUGCUUUUUUAACAACACUAGGCCAAACUUAUUUCUAUAUCAACGUCCUAGGAUUUCGACCGCGACGUUAUCGUCACCGCUACGACUCCGACUCUGAUGAUGACUGAGUUGCUGAUGAUGGUGCGAUUAGUUGAUUAGAAAUAGUAUCAAUAGUAUCAAUAGACUAAAAUUGUUGUUCCAUCAAGAUAGUGUAAUGAAAUGGUAUAAUUAAGCGUAAUUUCUACUGUGUAGAGUCCUCAAGCUCUUUAGAAAUAACAAAAAAAAAAUGAUGAAACCGGAUUCAAUCGCCGAUAAGUGGGGAGAUAAAAGAUUUAGCGAAAUUCGAGCGAAAACCAGAAUCAUUGAGAAAAGGUUUUGUUCUUAUGAUUUAAAUACAAAAUAAACUUUCAACUGCGUCGACGCCUCAUUAAGUCUAUAGUAAUUUUCCACCGUGCACGUGGCGAGCUUUCUGAUUACAUUCUCGUGUAAAAUGAAUCUAAUUAUCUUGCUGAUAUGCAUUUUGAUAUGUGUGGGAUGUUUGUAUGCGGCCACUGUUGUUAAACAAAAAAUUUCGUCUCAUACCGACUUGGCAACAUCUGAAACGGUAUUCGUUGGCCCGGUUGGUGCUUUUCUAACAACACUUGGUUUAACUUACUUCUAUCGUAGCCUAGGAUUUCAACCGUACGAUCGAGAUCCACGCGAUCAAUAUUAUCGUAAUCGGUACGCCGACUCCGACAGCAGCAGUAGCGAUGAAGAGACACCCCAAGAGUUACACGAUAGAUUAUUUAAUUAGAUUGAAUGAGAAAAUACUGGAAUUUGGUGCUUAAGUUGAGUACAUUUAAAGAGUGCUAUUUGUAUUACGAUAGUGAUAAGCUUAAGAAUUUGAAAAGUAAUGGCAUUAGAUUGUGAACGCCGCUUAAAUAUCGUGACAAAACGGUUUUGCGAUUUUUAAUGUUCAAAUUGAUUCUCAAAUUUUGCGACAGCAAUUUCGUAAGCCUUUUAUUUUCGAGGAAACUACAAAAUUCAUCCGAAAGUCGAAA
Bradysia coprophila is the source of this 1448-nucleotide long non-coding RNA. RefSeq lists it as uncharacterized. The record is from RefSeq and is a predicted model, not a curated record. NCBI's taxonomy places the organism in Eukaryota, Metazoa, Arthropoda, Insecta, Diptera, Sciaridae.